This 424-nucleotide ribosomal RNA is filed under the name uncultured bacterium. Its description in RNAcentral is "bacterial SSU rRNA". It matches the Rfam family "Bacterial small subunit ribosomal RNA", at positions 356 to 773 of the family's 1533-position model. The record is from RNAcentral.
AGGGAAUCUUCCGCAAUGGACGAAAGUCUGACGGAGCAACGCCGCGUGAGUGAUGAAGGUUUUCGGAUCGUAAAGCUCUGUUGCCAGGGAAGAACGUCCGUUAGAGUAACUGCUAACGGAGUGACGGUACCUGAGAAGAAAGCCCCGGCUAACUACGUGCCAGCAGCCGCGGUAAUACGUAGGGGGCAAGCGUUGUCCGGAAUUAUUGGGCGUAAAGCGCGCGCAGGCGGCUGUUUAAGUCUGGUGUAUAAUCCUGGGGCUCAACUCCGGGUCGCACUGGAAACUGGAUGGCUUGAGUGCAGAAGAGGAGAGUGGAAUUCCACGUGUAGCGGUGAAAUGCGUAGAGAUGUGGAGGAACACCAGUGGCGAAGGCGACUCUCUGGGCUGUAACUGACGCUGAGGCGCGAAAGCGUGGGGAGCAAAC